RNAcentral lists this ribosomal RNA (253 nucleotides) under uncultured bacterium. RNAcentral's name for it is "partial 16S ribosomal RNA". It matches the Rfam family "Bacterial small subunit ribosomal RNA", at positions 524 to 776 of the family's 1533-position model. The record is from RNAcentral.
UACGUAGGAUGCAAGCGUUGUCCGGAUUUAUUGGGCGUAAAGAGUUCGUAGGCGGUUUGUUAAGUCUGAUGUUAAAGCCUGGGGCUCAACCUCGGAAAUGCAUUGGAUACUGGCAGACUUGAGUGUGGUAGAGGCAAUCGGAAUUCCAGGUGUAGCGGUGAAAUGCGUAGAUAUCUGGAAGAACACCGGUGGCGCAAGCGGAUUGCUGGGCCAUAACUGACACUGAGGAACGAAAGCUAGGGGAGCAAAUGGG